Molecule: long non-coding RNA, 6585 nt
Filed under: Sus scrofa (pig)
Lineage: Eukaryota; Metazoa; Chordata; Mammalia; Artiodactyla; Suidae
Description: lncRNA (ENSSSCG00000061688.1)
Source: RNAcentral
CGCUAAACUCUGUCACGCGUUGAGCACGAGGUCAGCGAAUGUGUGCUUGCACGAAGCCCAGGUUCUGAGUGUGAAACGCACGCCCUCUCACAGCCCCGUGUGGAUGCGGGGAAGGCUGAGGAUCGGGGCUCGGAGGAGAGCGCGGGCCUGAGACCCUGCGGACACGGAGGCCAGGAGCCCCUCCCUCCCAGGAGCCCCCUCCCUCCCGAGGAAGCCGAAUCCCUGCAGGCGGGCAGGACGGGUCAGUGGGAGGAAGGAGCAGAGUGAGUCUCUCCUGAGGAAAGGCUGAGGGAGCUUCUCUGGCGGAGGUGCCGUAGGUCCUGCUCAUUUGGACGUGGACGCAGCGGGUAAGUGCCGGGGAGGAGAAGAGGGGGGCGAUGCAGGCGGUGCUCCCUGACGCCCAGAGUACUGCUUCUAGAACGUUUGUGCCCAGAGGGAGGCGGUAAAUGAGGGGCUGAGGCGCUCGGAGCCGGGCGACCUGGUUCUGAUCCUGCGCUUCCCAGCGCCCUGGCACCUCCAGCAGCCACUCAGUCUAGCUCGGUGUCGUCCUUUCAGAGUGAGUGUUGUCACUAGGGCCCAGUGAGGCCACAUAUCCGCUUCUUGCACGAGGUUCUGUUGCGGACCUACCAUACACCUGGCCCUGGGCUAGGGGUGUAGAGGUCGCGGUGGGAAGACCCCCGGUGGCGCCUGCAGGCAGGUGGGAGGUCACAGCAAGCCCAAUCACCACCCCUGCGGUUUUCCCAGGGCCAAGUCGUCCUUCGCACGUCAGUGUCUUCAUCUGUAAAAUGUGGAGCAGCUGAAUCAAAAUCCUCUCUCAAGUGAACCCCCCCUCGACUUCUCGUCUGGGGCUGGUGUUUCUGAGCGCGUGUGUGUACUAUUCAGGCAACCUCCGGACACACCCAGAGACAGCUGCAGGGGCAGCCUGGGCCUUUGAGUGGGGGCAGAGCUAAGAUCCUAAGCUUGAUCAAAACAGACCAUGAGGUGAGACAUGAGGUUCUCACCUGCCUGAGACUUAGAUCCCAAACUCAUGAUGAGGAGGCCAGACUCAGGGCAGUUCCUUUGGUGAGCAUCCACUUAGACAGCUCAUAGUCCAGAGUCUCUGCAGACCAAGAUGUCAUUGGAUUACAGCUCUUGAACCCCAUCAUAACUGCGUGAGGUCGUGAUCACUCUUACUGUUACCGUGUUAGCGAUGAGGACACAGAAGCUUAAGAGAAGAGCCGGAAUCCGAGGGAUGCUGGUCCAUGGCUCCUAAAUGACUAUGUUUUAAGGUGUCGUAAGGUGUAGGCUGAGUUUGGGUUUGUCGUUAGUGCAGAACUCAAGACAGUGGUGGAUGCUGUGGGUUCAGGAGGGAGCUCUUUGGAGGCAGAAUACCUCCGGAGCGGCGGGUUCUCCCCUAAGAGCAGAGGCCAAAGAUGGCACUACCAGGCUCUCCUCCUUGGCCCCUCACCCCUGAGAGUGGCAGGAACACAAGGCAGGGGGUGGGUCACCUGGUUCUGGCGGGGAGGGAACCAGUUGGGGCAUCUCUUCAGUUGUCUCAAGAGGUUCUUAAGAUACUUGGUUGUAACCAGCCUGAAAAGCUGACGUGGAAAAUGUUUCCGUCUGGUUCCCGUAAACGUGAAAUCUGUUCUGAAUUACAUCCCUCUGAGAGAGAGAGGCCAAGAGAGGUUUGGUGUGUGUGCAGGAGAGCCCGCCUCUGAAUGGUCUGAAAGCUUUUGCAAUUUUUCCUAAUUGGUCCAAUCCUUUUCUGUAACCAAUCUCCUCUCUCUUUUGUCCAUCCCAUCCCCCACUGCCUGCAGCUUUGGAUUCCUGGCUGGGAUGUGGUUAUUGCCAGGAGUUCGGGUGUGUGUUUCAGGUGAGAGCAGGCAGGAGGGAACUCAAAACCCAGGUCUCGCAGUUGAGGGGACUUGUUUUCAACAUACCCCUGAGCUUAGGAGACCGGGGCUUUUUUUAAUGUUCUCUGUAUUUUUGUAUGUCUCCUAAGAUGCUCCUUAAACUGCUGGGGAAGAUUUGUGAUGCCCUGAAGUUCAGUGCUGCAGGAGAGGGGUACCCCCAGCUGACUGUGCCCCUGAUGGUGGGAACCUGAUUCUCUGAAUUAGAAGAAAAGACCAAAAACAGACAAAGUUAUUAUCAACACCAUACCCAAGGACUCUCCUCCCCAGGCCUGAGGUCACCUGAUUCUGGUGGCUCUACCCUUCAGCAUAUCAACUCUCUUAAAGUGUAUCCACAAACCAUAUUGAAUAAUGUAUUUUUGCUAUAACAAAAUUAGAGAGACGGUUGUAUUUUUUAUAAUGUUAAGUUUUAUUAAGGAUAAAUUAUUCAUUUUGGUCUUGUGUCAUAAACUCUAUUACACUGAUGGAUGACUGUGUGUUGAGCUACAUUUCACUAGUUGACACAAUGUUAACUUUUGUAGACAUGGAGUUAAAUAUUCAUUUUCAUUUUGCAGACAAAUUUUUAUAUUUUGGACCCAAUCUAGUUUUGUUUUUAAGCUUCAGGUAUUUUUGUGGGACAGUGGAUAGCUCCUGGGAUAUGGACAUUGAGCUUCUUGGGCCUAAUGGAUAAAAUCUCCUCUGUCCCCCACCGCCGCCCCCCACCCCCACCCCCAGAGAGGGGAAGAAAUGCAGAAAUGGCUUCAGGGAACUGAUGUUCCAUCUCUAGGCCUAAAUUGUGCAGGUUUUCUUGUCUCCUCCUUGGUCUUGUUUUUAUGACAACGAAAUAUAGGAGGUGUUCUCUGGGAGAUGUGGGGCCUUUCCAAACAUCCCAGGCAGGGAGCAUGUCAUCAGUUACCUGAGACCCUCUGACAGAGGGAUGAAUUGGAUUCCUCUCAUGAGUGUCUCCAUCUGCUCUGGUCCAGAAGGGAGGGCAGGGUGAGGGAAGGGCUGCUUCCUCUUGAGCCUCUGAUUGGCCCCUUCGUGUGGCUCUGGCUUCAUGUGGGCCCUGGAUUUCUCCCUGGCUCCACAAAGAGCUUUGCUCAGGUACAGCCAUGACAGAGGCACCGCCAGAACUGUGUGCAAACAUUGAGCACCAGGGGUGUAUCGAGGAGGGAGAGAACCAAGUCUGUACACAGAGAAGGAGGCUGGAGGGUCUAGUCCCUGGAAAUGGGGACUGAGCUAGGCUCUGGCCGUGCUGCCCAGGAUGAGGGGCCAGGUCUGUCUUCCAAAGGGCAACUUCAAGGUAGAGGGCAGCUGACCAACUCAGGAGGUUGAGUAGGACCUGUGGGGAGAGGAAAUGAGGGGCCCUUGACAGCAGUGACCACCUGACAUAAGAACCCUCCCCUGCAGGAAGGCUGCAGGGGGUUGGGACCCAUUUUCAUCUCUGAGAAGUAGUGAUUCUUGAAGAAAAAAGAAAACACACAGAAAGACCCCAGGAAAUCUCCUCCAGGAAAGGAAAUACAGAUCCUUUCAGAUCCCUGACCUAAGAGGACAAAGGGGGUCUGGGGUGGUUGCCUUGAUCAAGGUCAGAGCCAGAGUCUUUCAAGGUUGGACACUGGCAUGUCUGAAACCUGACAAGCAUCUUUUGGGUCAUACCUGGCAUUUGUGCAUUAAGGGACUAGAACACUCCACCAGAAUUAGCUCUUUGUCAAUGGGGUGGAAUCCCCUCCUCUACACUAAAAAUGAGAUUAUGUGAAACCCUUGAAAAUUUAUUUGAAAAAGGGAGGGCUUUCUGUGCCUGACGCAUUACCAUAAAAUGACACUGUCUUAUUCUUUAUUGCCUAAUUAGUAAUAUUGUACUUCAGUGUGAAAUGGCGUGUUUAAACAUUGCCAAUUGAUUUAAACAAAGGAUUUCAAAUACUGUAGGGAAGAGCACCAUGAAAAUUUGCUGUCAGCCAGCACCUCCAAGGGUGCAUUUUGUCACCUCCAAGGGUGCCUGCCUAGCAGGACCUGGCAGAGGGAAGGGCAUACCCACCCCCUGUGUUUUCUGGCCUCCAUGCCCUUCAUCCGCGGCUUAGCUGGUCUUGGGGCUGUUGCUUUUUAAUGAACUUUGAGGGUGUGUAACACACAUUGGGCUCUCAGCUGGGCUCUAUCUUCAUUCAUUCAUUGAUUACCCACCUAACAAGACAGACGUAAACUCUAGUUCUAGGGCCUCAGGGUGCAGAGCAAGUGUUAGUCAGCCCAGGGGGAAAUGGGUGUUUUUGUGGAAAAUCGAAACAGCUCGAUUUGUUCCUGCUCGGUGACGAGGGUGGUGGAGAGGUGAGUGUGUCCUCGGGGUGGCCAUGAAAAUGAGUGUCUUAGGGUAGCCUGUCUGUUGUGACAAGUGUCCCCCACCCCUGGUGGCUUAUUUCUUGCUGACACCAGUUAUUUCUAGCUGACACCACUGGAUUGGCACAGUGGCAUUUGGGUCCCUCGGGGCCAGGCUCUUCUGUCUAGAGGCAGUGCAUCCCAUUGGGCCUGGAGAUUUCCCUCUGGACCCCCUGGAUCUAGCUGACAGAUGGCGAUAAGGAAGAGGGCAUGAAGGGGGGCACCCAGAGUUUCAGGGUCCAGCCUAGAAGUGGUGCCCACCAUCUCCUGCCUGUCCCGCCGUCUAGAACACUUGGCCCAGCACUGCCUCCUGCAGGGGAGGCUGGGAAAUGCAGGUUUGCCGUGUGCACAGGUGGAGAGAAACAGGUGUCUCCGUGGCAGGGAGCAGCCCUCACACCUGGGGAGGCAGGAGCCCCUCCAUCUGAGGGGAGCCUCGGGGUGGGUGGGGCUGGUGAAUUGAUGGGGUUGGGUGCAGGGUGGGGACCGCAGGUGUGAGAAGACAUUCAGAGCAAAGGGAGAAGAAAUAGCUUGUCUGUGUGUCAGAUGGAACUGAAGUGUGGUCCCACAGCUAUUGGAGCCAUGACCUUGGGCCUGGGGCCUGUGAUGUGUCCCAGGCGUCACCUUCCUCCUUUAUCCCAAGUCUUCUCAGAGAUGUGCGUGUCCCCAGGGACCCUCCAUCUGUGGUCACCAUGGCUGCAGUCUCACCAGGAGCCACUUUUUCUGACAGACCCCUUCUUUCUGUCCUGGAUGAGCCCUGACAGGGACCCUUCCACCGGGUCCCCCACACAGGUCUCUGCAGGUGGCACAGUCCAUACCCAUGUUUGGGGAAGUUCACAUCAUUGUCACAGAUAUUGGCUGUUUGAGAUUUCUGUGCUUGAAAAGCCCCUCAGAUGUUUCCCCAGCCUGGGUGUCAGCACUUUAUUACUUUUCUCUCUGGCUUUUCCACCUCUGCUACCCUGAACAGCUCAGACACCCCUGCCCACGGUUGCUGUACGGAGCGCUUCCGUUCCUUCUGCCCCCACCCCCGCCCCAGCUUGGAUCCCCCCUCGUGCGUCCCCAGCGUGUCUCCCCCACCAGGGCCCAUCUCCUUCCACAGGGGAGACUUCUUUCCCCAUCACUUUGAAGGCAGAGGUAAAUGGAGUCAGCUCUUAAGAGACCUCUUCUUUCUCUGAUAUUUCACAUCACCAAAGUCGGAUGGGAGUGUUGCCCCAUUAGCAGGGUUGCCGUGAGGCUUACGAAAGGUAACACAUGCAGGUGUGCAGGAGCCCAGCACACAGUCACCCUCCAUUAAAAGGCAGCCCCACGGCCUCCUGUCCCCGCAGCCCUCAGCGUCGCACUGUCCUGUGGUCAGAGGGAGGGUGUGGUGCGGGGGGAGCCAGAGGUGGGGCUGGAGAGGAGAGUGGACCCCACAGCCUCACGGGUAUUUUUCCAAGGAGACAGGCCUUCGUCCUCUGCAUUCAGAAGUCGGAACACAGCACAUCAGCUGCAAAUGGGAGGAAAACCUUUGAAAACUGCCAUGUGUCUCAGCAGAGGUGUUUUGCUAAGAUUCAAGAUGUGGCUGCAGGAUGGGUUGAGUUUUCAGGGACACCCCCCAGAGGCUGGGGGGAGCUCAGGGGUCCCCAUCUGGGGUGGGGGCAGCACGGUGGUCCCCUUGGCCAGCUGACCCAGCCUGGGAGGCCCCGCCCAACCUUGCUGUCCACAGAGGUGGUGUGUGGGAGAGGGACCAUGGGGGAGAGGCUGGGGUCCCAGUGCCCCAUGGGGCCUCCACCUCAUCGUCUCUUUACAGGAAGAGAGCCCCAGACAAGCUGGGUGGUCAUCAGGGUCUGGCAGGGCCCUGGGGCCGAGACCGUCCUCUCUCCUGCAAAUGCGAGGAGGGUCUCCAGGGGCCAUCUGGGAGAGGGGGCUCUCCUGCCGUGGCCUGGACAAAUCUGGGGCAUCUGCCCUCCCCAACACCUCAAGGCAUGGGGACGUCUGCAGUUGUGGGCAGGUUCCCUUAAAGACCACUGACCUUCACUGUGCCCCCUGGAUGGAAGGAAGUGUCCUCUCUUCCUGCUAUGUCCUUGCUGACUCUGAAGUCAUCCUCCUCAGGUACCCCCCCUUCUCUGUAGCCCCCUCCCCAGUCCCACCACCUCUUUGGAAAGCUGCUUGACCCCCAGCUCUCAGUUCUCCCGCAGGUACGAGCACUGCUGCUCUGUUAGGGAGCAGCUCCUUUCUGCCUAGUGGCCAGAUGGCCCCCGUGUCUCCUGAGGUAAAGGUGGGAUUGGGCUAAAGAGUGUUUUUAGCCAUACAGUUCUGCAGUUGGAGAUUCUCUGUUAUUUCUGAGAUAGGUUCCUUUGGAAAGCAUUGUUGU